CCUACGGGAGGCAGCAGUGGGGAAUUUUGGACAAUGGGCGCAAGCCUGAUCCAGCCAUGCCGCGUGCAGGAAGAAGGCCUUCGGGUUGUAAACUGCUUUUGUCAGGGAAGAAAUCCCUUGGGUUAAUACCCUGUGUGGAUGACGGUACCGGAAUAAGAAGCACCGGCUAACUACGUGCCAGCAGCCGCGGUAAU
RNAcentral lists this ribosomal RNA (194 nucleotides) under uncultured bacterium. RNAcentral's name for it is "partial 16S ribosomal RNA". It matches the Rfam family "Bacterial small subunit ribosomal RNA", at positions 338 to 524 of the family's 1533-position model. The record is from RNAcentral.